RNAcentral lists this small RNA (543 nucleotides) under Pan troglodytes (chimpanzee). RNAcentral's name for it is "processed transcript". Lineage: Eukaryota; Metazoa; Chordata; Mammalia; Primates; Hominidae. The record is from RNAcentral.
GAUAAGACCCGCUGUCUGGCCCUGAGUAGGGUGUGACCUCCGCAGCCGCAGAGGAGGAGCGCAGCCCGGCCUCGUAAUUUCCCCUCUGCUUUUAUCACAGAAGAACUUCUGCUUGGGUGGCUGAACUCUGAUCUUGACCUAGAGUCAUGGCCAUGGCAACCAAAGGAGGUACUGUCAAAGCUGCUUCAGGAUUCAAUGCCAUGGAAGAUGCCCAGACCCUGAGGAAGGCCAUGAAAGGGCUCGGCACCGAUGAAGACGCCAUUAUUAGCGUCCUUGCCUACCGCAACACCGCCCAGCGCCAGGAGAUCAGGACAGCCUACAAGAGCACCAUCGGCAGGGACUUGAUAGACGACCUGAAGUCAGAACUGAGUGGCAACUUCGAGCAGGUGAUUGUGGGGAUGAUGACGCCCACGGUGCUGUAUGAUGUGCAGGAGCUGCGAAGGGCCAUGAAGGGAGCCGGCACUGAUGAGGGCUGCCUAAUUGAGAUCCUGGCCUCCCGGACCCCUGAGGAGAUCCGGCGCAUAAGCCAAACCUACCAGCAGC